RNAcentral lists this non-coding RNA (289 nucleotides) under Stegodyphus mimosarum. RNAcentral's name for it is "Eukaryotic small subunit ribosomal RNA". It matches the Rfam family "Eukaryotic small subunit ribosomal RNA", at positions 1190 to 1408 of the family's 1831-position model. Lineage: Eukaryota; Metazoa; Arthropoda; Arachnida; Araneae; Eresidae. The record is from Rfam by way of RNAcentral.
UUAAUUUGACUCAAGAUGGGAAAACUUACCUGGCCCGGGCACAGGAAGGAUUGACAGAUUAAGAGCUCUUUUUUGAGUCUGCGAGUGGUGGUGCAUGGCCGUUUUUAGUUGGUGGAACCAUUUGUCUGCUUAAUUCCGAUAACGAAUGAGACUCUAGCCAACUAAACAGAUGCUCUGAUUCUUUGAGUUGGAUGCUCUUCUUAGAGGGUUUUUCCGUAGAAACUUUAAUUUUAAAUGCAAUUUUUUUUACUGUUUUAACUGUAACUGUUGUUUUAUGUUUUUUCCGACU